GCAGCAUAGGUUGUGCUAAGCUAUUUCAUUUUGAGAAAAAAAAAGAAAGCAUGUUAUGUGAUAAACGCUCAUAAAUCCCAGUCAUGAUUAAUGGAAGCGGAGAUAAGUGAUCUGACCCUUGCAGUUAGAUCUGUUUCCGCUGUGAUUUUCUCUGAUGGCCCAUUGUCUCCAGAACCCCCUUCCUGUCCCAGUUGCAUGUUACAGUAUAGGCAGAUGGCAGGGGACAAAGUUCCAUCAAGCAGAAAAUGAUACAAGAUCACGUCAUCUUAUCAUCCUGAGCCUCUGUGAGCUGUUUCUGCAGCCCAGCCUUGCUAGCGCAGCUUGAGUGGAUAUCUCAAACUUUCCUUAUUAAAACCCAAACAGAGUUGAAGCCUCACUUGAAUGGAGUCUGUGUUUGCACUGAGAAAGAGUGGAUGUAGCAGACAGAAGAAAGUGAAGCAGAAGUGAGAGAGAAACCACUACAGAUCAUCUUUCUG
Molecule: long non-coding RNA, 476 nt
Organism: Poecilia latipinna (sailfin molly)
Lineage: Eukaryota; Metazoa; Chordata; Actinopteri; Cyprinodontiformes; Poeciliidae
Exons: 4
Source: RefSeq, a predicted model, not a curated record